RNAcentral lists this ribosomal RNA (433 nucleotides) under uncultured bacterium. RNAcentral's name for it is "partial 16S ribosomal RNA". It matches the Rfam family "Bacterial small subunit ribosomal RNA", at positions 29 to 507 of the family's 1533-position model. The record is from RNAcentral.
AGUGAACGCUGGCGGCAGGCCUAACACAUGCAAGUCGAACGGAUCCUUCGGGAUUAGUGGCGGACGGGUGAGUAACACGUGGGAACGUGCCCUUUGGUUCGGAACAACUCAGGGAAACUUGAGCUAAUACCGGAUGUGCCCUUCGGGGGAAAGAUUUAUCGCCAUUGGAGCGGCCCGCGUCUGAUUAGCUAGUUGGUGAGGUAACGGCCCACCAAGGCGACGAUCAGUAGCUGGUCUGAGAGGAUGAUCAGCCACACUGGGACUGAGACACGGCCCAGACUCCUACGGGAGGCAGCAGUGGGGAAUCUUGCGCAAUGGGCGAAAGCCUGACGCAGCCAUGCCGCGUGAAUGAUGAAGGUCUUAGGAUUGUAAAAUUCUUUCAGCGGGGACGAUAAUGACGGUACCCGCAGAAGAAGCUCCGGCUAACUUCGUG